RNAcentral lists this ribosomal RNA (298 nucleotides) under uncultured eukaryote. RNAcentral describes it as "partial 18S ribosomal RNA". It matches the Rfam family "Eukaryotic small subunit ribosomal RNA", at positions 1470 to 1796 of the family's 1831-position model. The record is from RNAcentral.
CCCUUAGAUGUUCUGGGCUGCACGCGCGCUACAAUGUCAUGAAAACCGGGAUGCUUUAACGAAAUUUAUUGCGAAACCCCAACUCAUGACGCGACUGGGAUUGGCGUUUUUAAUUAUUCGUCAUGAACGAGGAAUUCCUAGUAAACGCGAAUCAUCAGUUCGUGUUGAUUAUGUCCCUGCCCUUUGUACACACCGCCCGUCGCUCCUACCGAUUGAGCGUUUUGGUGAGCACUCUGGAGUGCAGCAAUGCAUAAAUGAAUGCAAACCUGAGCGUUUAGAGGAAGGAUAAGUCGUAACA